UGAGUCACGCGUGUCCAACCUGCCCCCCGCCCGGGGAUAGCCCUUGGAAAUCGAGGAUUAAGACCCGAUACGUGCGCUUUCCGCAUGGCGAGCGCAUGGAAACCCAGGCGAGGGAUGGGGACGCGUCGGAUUAGCUUGACGGCGGGGCAACGGCCCACCGUGGCGACGAUCCGCAGGGGUUUCUGAGAGGAAGGUCCCCCACACUGGCACUGAGACACGGGCCAGACUCCUACGGGAGGCAGCAGUGAGGAAUAUUGGUCAAUGGCCGAGAGGCUGAACCAGCCAAGUAGCGUGCAGGAUGUACGGCCCUACGGGUUGUAAACUGCUUUUGACGGGAGGAUAAAGUGCGCUACGUGUAGCGCUUUGCAGGUAUCCCGUGAAUAAGGACCGGCUAAAUUCCGUGCCAGCCGCCGC
This 414-nucleotide ribosomal RNA is filed under the name uncultured bacterium. RNAcentral describes it as "bacterial SSU rRNA". It matches the Rfam family "Bacterial small subunit ribosomal RNA", at positions 107 to 518 of the family's 1533-position model. The record is from RNAcentral.